CAUGCUUACACCUGCAAGUCGAACGGCAGCGGGGAGAAGCUUGCUUCUCCUGCCGGCGAGUGGCGAACGGGUGAGUAAUACAUCGGAACGUGCCCUGUAGUGGGGGAUAACUAGUCGAAAGAUUAGCUAAUACCGCAUACGACUGAGGGUGAAAGUGGGGGACCGCAAGGCCUCAUGCUAUAGGAGCGGCCGAUGUCUGAAUAGCUAGUUGGUGAGGUAAAGGCUCACCAAGGCGACGAUCAGUAGCUGGUCUGAGAGGACGAUCAGCCACACUGGGACUGAGACACGGCCCAGACUCCUACGGGAGGCAGCAGUGGGGAAUUUUGGACAAUGGGCGAAAGCCUGAUCCAGCAAUGCCGCGUGUGUGAAGAAGGCCUUCGGGUUGUAAAGCACUUUUGUCCGGAAAGAAAUCGCACUUACUAAUACUAGGUGUGGAUGACGGUACCGGAAGAAUAAGGACCGGCUAACUACGUGCCAGCAGCCGCGGUAAUACGUAGGGUCCGAGCGUUAAUCGGAAUUACUGGGCGUAAAGCGUGCGCAGGCGGUUGUGCAAGACCGAUGUGAAAUCCCCGGGCUUAACCUGGGAAUUGCAUUGGUGACUGCACGGCUAGAGUGUGUCAGAGGGGGGUAGAAUUCCACGUGUAGCAGUGAAAUGCGUAGAGAUGUGGAGGAAUACCGAUGGCGAAGGCAGCCCCCUGGGAUAACACUGACGCUCAUGCACGAAAGCGUGGGGAGCAAACAGGAUUAGAUACCCUGGUAGUCCACGCCCUAAACGAUGUCAACUAGUUGUUGGGGAUUCAUUUCCUUAGUAACGUAGCUAACGCGUGAAGUUGACCGCCUGGGGAGUACGGUCGCAAGAUUAAAACUCAAAGGAAUUGACGGGGACCCGCACAAGCGGUGGAUGAUGUGGAUUAAUUCGAUGCAACGCGAAAAACCUUACCUACCCUUGACAUGCCACUAACGAAGCAGAGAUGCAUUAGGUGCUCGAAAGAGAAAGUGGA
Molecule: ribosomal RNA, 1001 nt
Filed under: Ralstonia mannitolilytica
Lineage: Bacteria; Pseudomonadati; Pseudomonadota; Betaproteobacteria; Burkholderiales; Burkholderiaceae
Description: bacterial SSU rRNA
Rfam family: Bacterial small subunit ribosomal RNA
Source: RNAcentral